RNAcentral lists this transfer RNA (72 nucleotides) under Candidatus Parcubacteria bacterium. Its description in RNAcentral is "tRNA-Val". It matches the Rfam family "tRNA". Rfam says of the family: Transfer RNA (tRNA) molecules are approximately 80 nucleotides in length. Their secondary structure includes four short double-helical elements and three loops (D, anti-codon, and T loops). Further hydrogen bonds mediate the characteristic L-shaped molecular structure. tRNAs have two regions of fundamental functional importance: the anti-codon, which is responsible for specific mRNA codon recognition, and the 3' end, to which the tRNAs corresponding amino acid is attached (by aminoacyl-tRNA synthetases). tRNAs cope with the degeneracy of the genetic code in two manners: having more than one tRNA (with a specific anti-codon) for a particular amino acid; and 'wobble' base-pairing, i.e. permitting non-standard base-pairing at the 3rd anti-codon position. The record is from RNAcentral. Lineage: Bacteria; Candidatus Parcubacteria.
GGACCCGUGGUUCAGUGGUAGAGCGGUCGCUUCACAUGCGACAGGCCGAUGGUUCGAAUCCAUCCGGGUCCA